CCUACGGGUGGCAGCAGUGGGGAAUAUUGCACAAUGGGGGAAACCCUGAUGCAGCGACGCCGCGUGAGUGAAGAAGUAAUUCGUUAUGUAAAGCUCUAUCAGCAGGGAAGAAAAUGACGGUACCUGAGUAAGAAGCCCCUGCUAAAUACGUGCCAGCAGCCGCGGGAAUACGUAGGGGGCAAACGUUAUCCGGAUUUACUGGGUGGAAAGGGAUCGUAGACGGUAGUGCAAGUCUGGGGUGAAAGGCGGGGGCUCAACCCCCGGACUGCUCUGGAAACUGUACGGCUGGAGUGCAGGAGAGGUAAGUGGAAUUCCUAGUGAAGCGGUGAAAUGCGUAGAUAUUAGGAGGAACACCAGUGGCGAAGGCGGUCUGCUGGACAGCAACUGACGGUGAGGCGCGAAAGCGUGGGGAGCAAACAGGAUUAGAUACCCGUGUAGUC
Molecule: ribosomal RNA, 440 nt
Filed under: uncultured bacterium
Lineage: Bacteria
Description: partial 16S ribosomal RNA
Rfam family: Bacterial small subunit ribosomal RNA
Source: RNAcentral